Molecule: ribosomal RNA, 2639 nt
Filed under: Klebsiella pneumoniae
Lineage: Bacteria; Pseudomonadati; Pseudomonadota; Gammaproteobacteria; Enterobacterales; Enterobacteriaceae
Also listed under: 1 other name
Description: bacterial LSU rRNA
Rfam family: Bacterial large subunit ribosomal RNA
Source: RNAcentral
ACUAUCGUUAACUGAAUACAUAGGUUAACGAGGCGAACCGGGGGAACUGAAACAUCUAAGUACCCCGAGGAAAAGAAAUCAACCGAGAUUCCCCCAGUAGCGGCGAGCGAACGGGGAGCAGCCCAGAGUCUGAAUCAGCUUGUGUGUUAGUGGAACGGUCUGGAAAGUCCGACGGUACAGGGUGAUAGUCCCGUACACCAAAAUGCACAGGCUGUGAACUCGAAGAGUAGGGCGGGACACGUGGUAUCCUGUCUGAAUAUGGGGGGACCAUCCUCCAAGGCUAAAUACUCCUGACUGACCGAUAGUGAACCAGUACCGUGAGGGAAAGGCGAAAAGAACCCCGGCGAGGGGAGUGAAAAAGAACCUGAAACCGUGUACGUACAAGCAGUGGGAGCACCUUCGGGUGUGACUGCGUACCUUUUGUAUAAUGGGUCAGCGACUUAUAUUCUGUAGCAAGGUUAACCGUAUAGGGGAGCCGCAGGGAAACCGAGUCUUAACUGGGCGUUAAGUUGCAGGGUAUAGACCCGAAACCCGGUGAUCUAGCCAUGGGCAGGUUGAAGGUUGGGUAACACUAACUGGAGGACCGAACCGACUAAUGUUGAAAAAUUAGCGGAUGACUUGUGGCUGGGGGUGAAAGGCCAAUCAAACCGGGAGAUAGCUGGUUCUCCCCGAAAGCUAUUUAGGUAGCGCCUCGUGAAUUCAUCUUCGGGGGUAGAGCACUGUUUCGGCUAGGGGGUCAUCCCGACUUACCAACCCGAUGCAAACUACGAAUACCGAAGAAUGUUAUCACGGGAGACACACGGCGGGUGCUAACGUCCGUCGUGAAGAGGGAAACAACCCAGACCGCCAGCUAAGGUCCCAAAGUCAUGGUUAAGUGGGAAACGAUGUGGGAAGGCACAGACAGCCAGGAUGUUGGCUUAGAAGCAGCCAUCAUUUAAAGAAAGCGUAAUAGCUCACUGGUCGAGUCGGCCUGCGCGGAAGAUGUAACGGGGCUAAACCAUGCACCGAAGCUGCGGCAGCGACACUAUGUGUUGUUGGGUAGGGGAGCGUUCUGUAAGCCUGCGAAGGUGACCUGUGAGGGUUGCUGGAGGUAUCAGAAGUGCGAAUGCUGACAUAAGUAACGAUAAAGCGGGUGAAAAGCCCGCUCGCCGGAAGACCAAGGGUUCCUGUCCAACGUUAAUCGGGGCAGGGUGAGUCGACCCCUAAGGCGAGGCCGAAAGGCGUAGUCGAUGGGAAACAGGUUAAUAUUCCUGUACUUGGUGUUACUGCGAAGGGGGGACGGAGAAGGCUAUGUUAGCCGGGCGACGGUUGUCCCGGUUUAAGCAUGUAGGCUGAUUAUCCAGGCAAAUCCGGAUAAUCAAGGCUGAGGUGUGAUGACGAGGCACUACGGUGCUGAAGUAACAAAUGCCCUGCUUCCAGGAAAAGCCUCUAAGCAUCAGGUAACAUCAAAUCGUACCCCAAACCGACACAGGUGGUCAGGUAGAGAAUACCAAGGCGCUUGAGAGAACUCGGGUGAAGGAACUAGGCAAAAUGGUGCCGUAACUUCGGGAGAAGGCACGCUGGUGUGUAGGUGAAGUCCCUGCGGAUGGAGCUGAGACCAGUCGAAGAUACCAGCUGGCUGCAACUGUUUAUUAAAAACACAGCACUGUGCAAACACGAAAGUGGACGUAUACGGUGUGACGCCUGCCCGGUGCCGGAAGGUUAAUUGAUGGGGUUAUCCGUAAGGAGAAGCUCUUGAUCGAAGCCCCGGUAAACGGCGGCCGUAACUAUAACGGUCCUAAGGUAGCGAAAUUCCUUGUCGGGUAAGUUCCGACCUGCACGAAUGGCGUAAUGAUGGCCAGGCUGUCUCCACCCGAGACUCAGUGAAAUUGAACUCGCUGUGAAGAUGCAGUGUACCCGCGGCAAGACGGAAAGACCCCGUGAACCUUUACUAUAGCUUGACACUGAACAUUGAGCCUUGAUGUGUAGGAUAGGUGGGAGGCUUUGAAGCGUGGACGCCAGUCUGCGUGGAGCCAACCUUGAAAUACCACCCUUUAAUGUUUGAUGUUCUAACGUUGGCCCCUGACCGGGGUUGCGGACAGUGUCUGGUGGGUAGUUUGACUGGGGCGGUCUCCUCCCAAAGCGUAACGGAGGAGCACGAAGGUUAGCUAAUCCUGGUCGGACAUCAGGAGGUUAGUGCAAUGGCAUAAGCUAGCUUGACUGCGAGCGUGACGGCGCGAGCAGGUGCGAAAGCAGGUCAUAGUGAUCCGGUGGUUCUGAAUGGAAGGGCCAUCGCUCAACGGAUAAAAGGUACUCCGGGGAUAACAGGCUGAUACCGCCCAAGAGUUCAUAUCGACGGCGGUGUUUGGCACCUCGAUGUCGGCUCAUCACAUCCUGGGGCUGAAGUAGGUCCCAAGGGUAUGGCUGUUCGCCAUUUAAAGUGGUACGCGAGCUGGGUUUAGAACGUCGUGAGACAGUUCGGUCCCUAUCUGCCGUGGGCGCUGGAGAAUUGAGGGGGGCUGCUCCUAGUACGAGAGGACCGGAGUGGACGCAUCACUGGUGUUCGGGUUGUCAUGCCAAUGGCACUGCCCGGUAGCUAAAUGCGGAAGAGAUAAGUGCUGAAAGCAUCUAAGCACGAAACUUGCCCCGAGAUGAGUUCU